UACGGGGGGGGCAAGCGUUGUCCGGAUUUACUGGGCGUAAAGAGCGCGCAGGCGGCUGGUCAAGUCCGAUGUGAAAUCUCCCGGCUCAACUGGGAAACUGCAUCGGAAACUGAUCGGCUUGAAGGUGGGAGAGGGUAGUGGAAUUCCCGGUGUAGUGGUGAAAUGCGUAGAUAUCAGGAGGAACACCAAUGGCGAAGGCAGCUCGCUGGAACGGUACUGACGCUGAGGCGCGAAAGCGUGGGGAGCAAACAGG
RNAcentral lists this ribosomal RNA (253 nucleotides) under uncultured bacterium. RNAcentral's name for it is "partial 16S ribosomal RNA". It matches the Rfam family "Bacterial small subunit ribosomal RNA", at positions 524 to 776 of the family's 1533-position model. The record is from RNAcentral.